Bubalus bubalis (water buffalo) is the source of this 108-nucleotide small nuclear RNA. NCBI's taxonomy places the organism in Eukaryota, Metazoa, Chordata, Mammalia, Artiodactyla, Bovidae. The record is from RefSeq and is a predicted model, not a curated record.
GGGCGCUUGCUUGCGCCGCACAUAUGCUAAAAUUGGAACAACACAGAGCAGAUUAGUAUGGCCCCACACAAGGAAGACACACAAAUUAGUGACGCGAUCCAUAUUUUA